RNAcentral lists this transfer RNA (72 nucleotides) under Ovis aries (sheep). It matches the Rfam family "tRNA". Rfam says of the family: Transfer RNA (tRNA) molecules are approximately 80 nucleotides in length. Their secondary structure includes four short double-helical elements and three loops (D, anti-codon, and T loops). Further hydrogen bonds mediate the characteristic L-shaped molecular structure. tRNAs have two regions of fundamental functional importance: the anti-codon, which is responsible for specific mRNA codon recognition, and the 3' end, to which the tRNAs corresponding amino acid is attached (by aminoacyl-tRNA synthetases). tRNAs cope with the degeneracy of the genetic code in two manners: having more than one tRNA (with a specific anti-codon) for a particular amino acid; and 'wobble' base-pairing, i.e. permitting non-standard base-pairing at the 3rd anti-codon position. Lineage: Eukaryota; Metazoa; Chordata; Mammalia; Artiodactyla; Bovidae. The record is from Rfam by way of RNAcentral.
UCCCUGGUGGCUAGGAUGGUAAAGCGUCUGUCUGCAAUGCAGGAGACCUGGGUUUGAUCCCUGGGUUGGGAA